RNAcentral lists this transfer RNA (73 nucleotides) under Myotis davidii. It matches the Rfam family "tRNA". From Rfam's summary of the family: Transfer RNA (tRNA) molecules are approximately 80 nucleotides in length. Their secondary structure includes four short double-helical elements and three loops (D, anti-codon, and T loops). Lineage: Eukaryota; Metazoa; Chordata; Mammalia; Chiroptera; Vespertilionidae. The record is from Rfam by way of RNAcentral.
ACCGGUGUGGCUCAGUGGAUAGAGCAUCAGCCUGCAGACUGAGGGGUCCUGGGUUCGAUUCCAGUCAAGGGUA